CUUUUUUUAAAAAAUCUCUUAUUUUAUAUAACUAAAACUAUUUGUUUUUUUUUAAUAAGAUUGUUAUAAAUCCAGUAAAUUAAGAGUUAGGUUAAAAAAAAAUUUGUUGUUGAGAUUUUUUUUGGACUAUGGUAAGUAUUCUAGGAAAGGAGAAUCUGAAUAUAAAUGAUGCUGACUGUAGCAGUUUAUUGUUUCAAAGAAAUUCAGUUUGGAUUCCUUUUGCAUUAUUUAAUGUAUAAAAUGAAUAAAUGAUAUAAAAAAUAAAACUAACCAAUGAAAUAGAAUUUUUUUUUUUAUUAAAUCAAUGAUUGUCUGGAAGAAAAGUGUUUUACUAAAAGUGGAUGUUGUAGCUAUUGUUAGGAUCAGCUGUUCAGAUGGAGUAGUUUGUCCUGGUUUGUGGUAUGUGCCUCUAGGCAAAUGUAGAUGUCUCUGUACUGUGGUUAUAGUACAACUACAUUCUACAGUUACAGUGUCCAAGAACUGUCUCAAUAAAAAAAAUAUUGUAGAAAAAUGUACUUUUUCAUCACAGUUCAAGAAAGCUGUAUAACAAUUUUGUAAAUUUGAUAAGUUACCAUUAACCUUCAGAAAUCCAGAUUAUUGUAAAAUAUUUAAUUCAGUAUUUAUGAGAAAUGAAUUAAGAAUUGUUCAACAUAAAACAAAAGUUGCAUCUUAGUGAGAAUUUUUCUGAAUUUUAAAUAUUGUUCGUUAAACAUAUUUUUAAUUGUAUGGUGAAUUUAGAAUUGUUUUUACUCAUAGUAAGAAAUGUACAAAUGUCAUUGGCCUGUAUAAAUGUUUCUAUAUCUAUAAGUAAACAUCCAUAUCAUGCCAAUACUUUAUAAAUUUCAGUUUAGUAUUAUUUACAUGUAACAUAGUGUAAUCUUUUAAACUUUAAUAAAGUUAUUAUUUUUAAAUAUAUAUUUGCUGUUUGUAUGUCUUUUGUCUAUAAAUUUAUCUCAUUAUGGAAUAGUGGAAAUUAAAAUUAAUACUAAAUGUUAUUUUGUUUAUAAUAAUACC
This 1014-nucleotide long non-coding RNA is filed under the name Androctonus crassicauda. Lineage: Eukaryota; Metazoa; Arthropoda; Arachnida; Scorpiones; Buthidae. The record is from RNAcentral.